GAAUUGAAGAUAUCUACUCGGUAGUCUAAACCUCAAAGGAGCUUAGGGAAGUGAUGGCAGUUGCAGGGUAUGAACCAGACGACCAUGCAGAGACCAACGAGGCGACCAAACAGUCCAUCGUGCAUACCACAUAACCAGGUCCAGAAUGCCAGUUUUCUUUAAGGGCAGCUGACAAUAAGAAUUGUCUAUGUAUGCACUACAGAUGCUGUUCAAUAUCUUUUCAUGAGGAAGCCUGCUCAAAAAGAUCGCCACAUUUUCUUUAGGGGAAGUUGACAUUAAUCUUUUAGGUUAAUAAUAACCUAUGCAUGCAGUACAGAUGCUGUUCAUCAUCUUUUCAUAAGCAAGCCUGCUCAAGAAGCUGCUGCAUGGAAGUCAAAAUAUGAAUUAUUGCCACCAGUCUUGAAGUCAGCUUGUAAAGAAUGCUAAGAAUUGAAUGAAAAUGCUGUCUUGAUAUCUUGUUUGUGCUGUUAUAUUUGUCUUUUGUGUUGGUUAAUUAUUCCAUGAAUAAAAAAUAAAAAAAAGUUAA
Biomphalaria glabrata is the source of this 526-nucleotide long non-coding RNA. RefSeq lists it as uncharacterized. The transcript is spliced from 4 exons. The record is from RefSeq and is a predicted model, not a curated record. NCBI's taxonomy places the organism in Eukaryota, Metazoa, Mollusca, Gastropoda, Planorbidae.